Molecule: long non-coding RNA, 1088 nt
Filed under: Marmota monax (woodchuck)
Lineage: Eukaryota; Metazoa; Chordata; Mammalia; Rodentia; Sciuridae
Source: RNAcentral
CUGGGAGCCCAGCGCCGGAGACUGAGGGCAGAGCUCUCAGAUCAGGGUACCACCCACUGAGACCCCCACCAGCAUUAGAGCAGUGGAGAAACAGAGGUCCCUAUACCACCACAGCUAAAUAUUUAAAAGUUAUGGAUUAAGUUGUUAAGGUGUGUUCUGUUCUCACCCUGAUUAUUAUACUUUCCAUACCAGUGGAACAGAAAAGCUGAGGUUUUUAUGUGACCAAAAGUCAGCAAAAUGUCGGUGACAAUUUAAUCAUCGUUAUAUUGGUCUCACUGUGCGAUAGUUUGGUAAUGUCUGGAUCCUAAUAUAGGGACAAUUCAUAUACCAUUCUUAUGUUUAUUCAUGUUUUUCUAUAAGUUUAUGUUUCUCUCCUUUAGCAAGAUCACUAAAUAUACCAUUACUUUAUAAAGAUUUCAUUCUUAAUUCCAAAUCAGACCACCUUUCCUGAAUCAUUGUAGUUCUUAGAGUGUAGUUCACUAAGUUCAAUUUGGAGAAACUUCGCAUUAAGCAGAAACUUUGCUUAAGCAUUUACAAAGGAAUUGCUUUUAAAAAAUAAGGCAAUACUCAGGUUUAAAAAUAGCCCAUACAUUUUAAAUAUCAUUCCUAUAGUAUAAUGAGAUCAAUAAGAUAAAUGAUCACAGAAAUGUUGCAACAUAACUUAAAUUCAUUAUACACAUUGUUUUCACUUAGAGUAUUUCUAACAUUCAUGUAUACAAAUGCAAGAGCAAUAUGUAUUGCUACCAUUCCUUCACUGUUUUGUUGUUGUUGUUUGUUGUUUGUUUUUGGUUUUGUUGUUGUUUUGUUGAGACAGAGUCUCACUAUGAUGCCUAGGAUGGCUUUGGACUCAAGCAAUCCUCCUGCCUCAGCUGCCAGAGUGGCUGGGACCAGAGUGGCCCACACCAGUUCCUCAAGCCCACUGUCCUAUGCAACUGUUGCAAAACCAUGCUAAUUCUUGAGUACAUCUGGAACCACAAAUUGGAACACCAAAAGAAGCAAGAAAAUGAAUGCUUCUCAUGGUUGAGAAAUAAUACUUUGCAUUACAGAACUCAUUUUGUUUAUGCUGAGAAGAGGGAUUUCAUAAAUUG